AAAAAUUAGUUAAACUUAUAACAUUAGUAUGUCAAACUAAAAUUAUUAAAACUUUAAUAUUUUUUG
This 66-nucleotide transfer RNA is filed under the name Drosophila bifasciata. RNAcentral's name for it is "tRNA-Asp". Lineage: Eukaryota; Metazoa; Arthropoda; Insecta; Diptera; Drosophilidae. The record is from RNAcentral.